RNAcentral lists this long non-coding RNA (1312 nucleotides) under Astyanax mexicanus (Mexican tetra). Its description in RNAcentral is "lncRNA (ENSAMXG00005011480.1)". The record is from RNAcentral. Lineage: Eukaryota; Metazoa; Chordata; Actinopteri; Characiformes; Acestrorhamphidae.
AAAGUGCAUUUGCUGCUGCUAAGGUGGAUUUAAAUGAACAAUGCAGUCUGGUGCAGCUUGGAGUUUCCUGUUUGCCUUGUUAGUAUUUCCUGCCCUUAUCUAGGUAGUCAGAAUUACCAGCCUGCCAGUUUUUGUCGUGAUUAACGCCCCCGUGGGCGGCAGACAGAGUAAAUGUGAAUGAGGAGGCUUUCCACAUCCCGCAUUAUAAUAUGUAAAGCGCGCUAUGAAUUUCGUUUGCUGUUGCUGGUAUAGCUUAGGUAAAGUUAAAGUAAAAGAGCAGUCAGGAGCAUCUUGAAGUUUCUUGUUCGCCUUUGCCUUUGCCUUGCUCUUAUUUAGGAAAUCAGCGUAACCUGACUGCCAUUUAAUGCUUUGAGUAAAGCCCCUGGAGUCCGCAGACAGAGGCUGUAUUCGGAAUGGCAUACUACUAUACUGCAGGGCUGGACUGGUUGUCUGGCGUGCCAGGCGUUUGCCCGUCUUCAGGACCGAUGCUGUUCUGUAAAGCAGAAUAGUGUAAAGCACAGCAGAGAGUUGUAGCACGGACUAUGUUAUGUGUAACACACUUCCUGUUCAGGAUGAAAAUAAACCACCCGUGAGUUACUGAACUGCUAAUCUGAGUCCGGGUCUCCUUCAUGCUCACUCACAGUCUGCCAGUAACAUAACAUGGUGUCAGAAGUAAAAAGAAGAAACAAAGAAAAAGUAAAGAAGAACUAAAGGAAAAUAAACGGCGGAAAAUGGAUGCAAACAGAGACGGAGGAGCGACGCUACCACAGUUAGCACCACCGGGCAAGUUCGACUUUACCAAUGCUAAUGAAUGGCCGAGGUGGCUAAAACGCUAUGAGCGCUAUAGAAUAGGACACUUCGCCAAGAAAUGUAGGUCAAGUGGGCAUGUCCAUAAUAUCACAGAGGCAGCACAAGAGAGCAGUGAGGAGGAUUUUGCUUUCCUGGGAGAAAUGUGCUCUGACGAGGAGGAGGAGUGGUGCGAAAUUGUGCAAAUAAACAGUGAAAAAGUUGUGUUCAAGCUGGAUACAGGAGCUACUGUCACAGCAAUUCCAAGCAGCUCCUACUCUGCCAAAAGUCACGAUACACUGCAGCCGUCCAGAAAACUGCUGUAUGGCCCUGGAAACCACAAGCUAGAAGUCAAAGGACUGUUUAAAGGCAAGUUGAGCUUUGAUAAUAAAGUGACUGAACAGGACAUUUAUGUUGUUGGAGGUCUAGCCAAACCAUUACUGGGCCUACCAGCAUUAAAAGCUCUAGCCUUGAUAAAGCGGGUCCAUGCAGUGCAGGGCCAGCAAGAAGAUUUUAAAGCACAGUA